This 440-nucleotide ribosomal RNA is filed under the name uncultured bacterium. Its description in RNAcentral is "partial 16S ribosomal RNA". It matches the Rfam family "Bacterial small subunit ribosomal RNA", at positions 338 to 795 of the family's 1533-position model. The record is from RNAcentral.
CCUACGGGUGGCAGCAGUGGGGAAUAUUGCACAAUGGGGGGAACCCUGAUGCAGCAACGCCGCGUGGGUGAAGAAGUACUCCGGUAUGUAAAGCCCUGUCAGCAGGGAAGAAAAUGACGGUACCUGACCAAGAAGCCCCGGCUAACUACGUGCCAGCAGCCGCGGUAAUACGUAGGGGGCAAGCGUUAUCCGGAUUUACUGGGUGUAAAGGGAGCGUAGACGGCAAGGCAAGUCUGGAGUGAAAGCCCGUGGCCCAACCACGGGACUGCUUUGGAAACUGUGUUGCUGGAGUGAUGGAGAGGCAGGCGGAAUUCCCGGUGUAGCGGUGGAAUGCGUAGAUAUCGGGAGGAACACCAGUGGCGAAGGCGGCCUGCUGGACAUUAACUGACGCUGAGGCGCGAAAGCGUGGGGAGCAAACAGGAUUAGAUACCCUAGUAGUC